This 252-nucleotide ribosomal RNA is filed under the name uncultured Bacteroidales bacterium. Its description in RNAcentral is "partial 16S ribosomal RNA". It matches the Rfam family "Bacterial small subunit ribosomal RNA", at positions 524 to 776 of the family's 1533-position model. The record is from RNAcentral. Lineage: Bacteria; Pseudomonadati; Bacteroidota; Bacteroidia; Bacteroidales.
UACGGAGGAUGCGAGCGUUAUCCGGAUUUAUUGGGUUUAAAGGGUGCGUAGGCGGCAUUAUAAGUUAGUGGUAAAAUAUUGGGGCUUCACCUCACUACGCCAUUAAUACUGUAGAGCUAGAGAACAGACGAGGUAGGCGGAAUGUAUGGUGUAGCGGUGAAAUGCUUAGAGAUCAUACAGAACACCGAUUGCGAAGGCAGCUUACCAAGCUACUUCUGACGUUGAGGCACGAAAGCGUGGGGAGCAAACAGG